This is a long non-coding RNA of Etheostoma spectabile (orangethroat darter), 204 nucleotides long. RefSeq lists it as uncharacterized. The transcript has 3 exons. The record is from RefSeq and is a predicted model, not a curated record. NCBI's taxonomy places the organism in Eukaryota, Metazoa, Chordata, Actinopteri, Perciformes, Percidae.
UGUCUGUCAGUGGCUUGUGGAUCUUUACAUUGUUAGUUAAUUUCCUAACCUGGCAUGGGACACCCAUUCAUACAGUUUUGAUAAAGUACUUAUUGGGCGCUUACAAUAACGAGCGUAGCUGUCCUCAGUUUAGAUCAUCCUGUACGUCUCCUCUCCGGUGUUUCCUGCAUUCCCGGUGUGUGAUUGUGUGUGUGUGUGUGUGUG